AUUGAACGCUGGCGGCAGGCCUAACACAUGCAAGUCGAACGAGUGGCGGACGGGUGAGUAAUGUCUGGGAAACUGCCUGAUGGAGGGGGAUAACUACUGGAAACGGUAGCUAAUACCGCAUACCAUCAGAUGUGCCCAGAUGGGAUUAGCUAGUUGGUGGGGAAACGGCUCACCAAGGCGACGAUCCCUAGCUGGUCUGAGAGGAUGACCAGCCACACUGGAACGGCGACAGGGUCCAGACUCCUAGGGGGGGAAGAAGUGGGGAAUAUUGCACAAGGGGCGAAGGCCUGAUGCAGCAAUGCCGGGUGUAUGAAGAGGGCCUUCGGGUUGUAAAGUACUUUCAGCGGGGAGGCGUUACCCGCAGAAGAAGCACCGGCUAACUCCGUGCCAGCAGCCGCGGUAAUA
Molecule: ribosomal RNA, 405 nt
Filed under: uncultured bacterium
Lineage: Bacteria
Description: partial 16S ribosomal RNA
Rfam family: Bacterial small subunit ribosomal RNA
Source: RNAcentral